Molecule: ribosomal RNA, 253 nt
Filed under: uncultured bacterium
Lineage: Bacteria
Description: partial 16S ribosomal RNA
Rfam family: Bacterial small subunit ribosomal RNA
Source: RNAcentral
UACGGAGGGUGCAAGCGUUGUCCGGAUUUAUUGGGUUUAAAGGGUGCGUAGGCGGUUUAUUAAGUCAGUGGUGAAAGGCUGCAGCUCAACUGUAGCAUUGCCAUUGAUACUGAUAAACUUGAGUACAGACGAGGUAGGCGGAAUUGAUAGUGUAGCGGUGAAAUGCAUAGAUACUAUCAAGAACACCGAUUGCGAAGGCAGCUUACUAGGCUGUAACUGACGCUGAGGCACGAAAGCGUGGGGAGCAAACAGG